Molecule: ribosomal RNA, 253 nt
Filed under: uncultured bacterium
Lineage: Bacteria
Description: partial 16S ribosomal RNA
Rfam family: Bacterial small subunit ribosomal RNA
Source: RNAcentral
UACGGAGGGCGCAAGCGUUGUUCGGAAUCACUGGGCGUAAAGCGCGUGUAGGCGGCCGGGCAAGUCGGAUGUGAAAUCCCGAGGCUCAACCUCGGAACUGUAUUCGAAACUGCUCGGCUCGAGUCCCGGAGAGGAUGGCGGAAUUCCCGGUGUAGGGGUGAAAUCCGUAGAUAUCGGGAGGAACACCAGUGGCGAAGGCGGCCAUCUGGACGGUGACUGACGCUGAGACGCGAAAGCGUGGGGAGCAAACAGG